Molecule: transfer RNA, 69 nt
Filed under: Cetonurus globiceps (globehead grenadier)
Lineage: Eukaryota; Metazoa; Chordata; Actinopteri; Gadiformes; Macrouridae
Description: tRNA-Arg
Source: RNAcentral
AGGCGGUUAGUUUAGAAAAAAUACUUGAUUUCGGCUCAAGAGCUUGUGGUGAAACCCCCCAAACACCUG